This 498-nucleotide ribosomal RNA is filed under the name uncultured bacterium. Its description in RNAcentral is "partial 16S ribosomal RNA". It matches the Rfam family "Bacterial small subunit ribosomal RNA", at positions 28 to 523 of the family's 1533-position model. The record is from RNAcentral.
GAUGAACGCUAGCGGCAGGCCUAAUACAUGCAAGUCGAACGAUAGAAGAGGGCUUGCUCUCUUCGAAAGUGGCGCACGGGUGCGUAACGCGUAUGCAACCUACCUUAAUCAGGGGGAUAGCCCGAAGAAAUUCGGAUUAACACCGCAUAAAAUCACAGUACAGCAUUGUACAAUGAUCAAAUAUUUAUAGGAUUAAGAUGGGCAUGCGUGACAUUAGCUAGUUGGCGGGGUAACGGCCCACCAAGGCGACGAUGUCUAGGGGAUCUGAGAGGAUGACCCCCCAGACUGGUACUGAGACACGGACCAGUCUCCCACGGGAGGCAGCAGUAAGGAAUAUUGGUCAAUGGAGGCAACUCUGAACCAGCCAUGCCGCGUGCAGGAAGACAGCCCUCUGGGUCGUAAACUGCUUUUAUUCGGGAAUAAACCUACUUACGUGUAAGUAGCUGAAUGUACCGAAGGAAUAAGGAUCGGCUAACUCCGUGCCAGCCGCCGCGGUAA